RNAcentral lists this ribosomal RNA (253 nucleotides) under uncultured bacterium. RNAcentral's name for it is "partial 16S ribosomal RNA". It matches the Rfam family "Bacterial small subunit ribosomal RNA", at positions 524 to 776 of the family's 1533-position model. The record is from RNAcentral.
UACGAAGGGGGCUAGCGUUGUUCGGAAUUACUGGGCGGAAAGCGCACGUAGGCGGAUCGAUCAGUCAGGGGUGAAAUCCCAGGGCUCAACCCUGGAACUGCCUUUGAUACUGUCGAUCUGGAGUAUGGAAGAGGUGAGUGGAAUUCCGAGUGUAGAGGUGAAAUUCGUAGAUAUUCGGAGGAACACCAGUGGCGAAGGCGGCUCACUGGUCCAUUACUGACGCUGAGGUGCGAAAGCGUGGGGAGCAAACAGG